ACGCUGGCGGCGUGCCUAAUACAUGCAAGUAGAACGCUGAAGGAGGAGCUUGCUUCUCUGGAUGAGUUGCGAACGGGUGAGUAACGCGUAGGUAACCUGCCUGGUAGCGGGGGAUAACUAUUGGAAACGAUAGCUAAUACCGCAUAACAGUAGAUGUUGCAUGACAUUUGCUUAAAAGGUGCAAUUGCAUCACUACCAGAUGGACCUGCGUUGUAUUAGCUAGUUGGUGGGGUAACGGCUCACCAAGGCGACGAUACAUAGCCGACCGGAGAGGGUGAUCGGCCACACUGGGACUGAGACACGGCCCAGACUCCUACGGGAGGCAGCAGUAGGGAAUCUUCGGCAAUGGACGGAAGUCUGACCGAGCAACGCCGCGUGAGUGAAGAAGGUUUUCGGAUCGUAAAGCUCUGUUGUAAGAGAAGAACAGGUGUGAGAGUGGAAAGUUCACACUGUGACGGUAUCUUACCAGAAAGGGACGGCUAACUACGUGCCAGCAGCCGCGGUAAUACGUAGGUCCCGAGCGUUGUCUGGAUUUAUUGGGCGUAAAGCGAGCGCAGGCGGCUAGAUAAGUCUGAAGUUAAAGGCUGUGGCUUAACCAUAGUACGCUUUGGAAACUGUUUAACUUGAGUGCAAGAGGGGAGAGUGGAAUUCCAUGUGUAGCGGUGAAAUGCGUAGAUAUAUGGAGGAACACCGGUGGCGAAAGCGGCUCUCUGGCUUGUAACUGACGCUGAGGCUCGAAAGCGUGGGGAGCAAACAGGAUUAGAUACCCCUGGUAGUCCACGCCGUAAACGAUGAGUGCUAGGUGUUAGACCCUUUCCGGGGUUUAGUGCCGCAGCUAACGCAUUAAGCUCUCCGCCUGGGGAGUACGACCGCAAGGUUGAAACUCAAAGGAAUUGAC
This 898-nucleotide ribosomal RNA is filed under the name uncultured bacterium. RNAcentral's name for it is "bacterial SSU rRNA". It matches the Rfam family "Bacterial small subunit ribosomal RNA", at positions 33 to 914 of the family's 1533-position model. The record is from RNAcentral.